Molecule: transfer RNA, 69 nt
Filed under: Camelus ferus (Wild Bactrian camel)
Lineage: Eukaryota; Metazoa; Chordata; Mammalia; Artiodactyla; Camelidae
Rfam family: tRNA
About the family: Transfer RNA (tRNA) molecules are approximately 80 nucleotides in length. Their secondary structure includes four short double-helical elements and three loops (D, anti-codon, and T loops). Further hydrogen bonds mediate the characteristic L-shaped molecular structure. tRNAs have two regions of fundamental functional importance: the anti-codon, which is responsible for specific mRNA codon recognition, and the 3' end, to which the tRNAs corresponding amino acid is attached (by aminoacyl-tRNA synthetases). tRNAs cope with the degeneracy of the genetic code in two manners: having more than one tRNA (with a specific anti-codon) for a particular amino acid; and 'wobble' base-pairing, i.e. permitting non-standard base-pairing at the 3rd anti-codon position.
Source: Rfam by way of RNAcentral
GGUAUAGCUCAAGUGGUAGAGCACAUGCUUAGCAUGCAGGAGGUCCUGGGUUCAAUCCCUGAAUUACCU